RNAcentral lists this ribosomal RNA (112 nucleotides) under Caerostris darwini. Lineage: Eukaryota; Metazoa; Arthropoda; Arachnida; Araneae; Araneidae. The record is from RNAcentral.
AUGGCCAUACCGUGCUGAAUAUACCGGUUCUCGUUAGAAGCACCGAAGUCAAGCAUCAUUGGGCGCGGUCAGUACUUGGGUGGGUGACCACCUGCGAACAGCGCGUGCCGUU